CAGGGAAUUUUGCGCAAUGGGCGAAAGCCUGACGCAGCGACACCGCGUGGGGGAAGAAGGCUUUCGGGUUGUAAACCCCUUUUCUUGGGGAAGAGGAAGGACGGUACUCAAGGAAUAAGGAUCGGCUAACUACGUGCCAGCAGCCGCGGUAAUACGUAGGAUCCGAGCGUUGUCCGGAUUUACUGGGCGUAAAGGGCGAGUAGGCGGCCUGUUAAGUCUUAUGUGAAAUCUCCCGGCUUAACUGGGAGGGGUCAUGGGAAACUGACAGGCUUGAGGGCAGCAGAGGGAAGCGGAAUUCCCGGAGUAGUGGUGAAAUGCGUAGAUACCGGGAGGAACACCAGUGGCGAAGGCGGCUUCCUGGGCUGUUCCUGACGCUGAGGAGCGAAAGCGUGGGGAGCGAACCGG
Molecule: ribosomal RNA, 405 nt
Filed under: uncultured bacterium
Lineage: Bacteria
Description: bacterial SSU rRNA
Rfam family: Bacterial small subunit ribosomal RNA
Source: RNAcentral